CAGAGAAAGCAAAACUUAAGAAAACUAGGGCAACAGCUGUUCACAGAUCAGCUGAGGGCGGGAACAGUGUGCUAGUAUAAAUAACAGGAAGACGCAUUGAUCUGUCCUUUCUACCAUCAGAGCCUCCUUCUUAGUGCUUACAGAUCAGCAGGGUCUAUGGUGAUUCCUCUGUGGGAGACGCCAUGGAACCCUGAGUGAUUUCACAGCACUAAUGUCAUCAUGAAGGAGGCGGAGUUCAUGUAAAUCCUUGCUGCCAGGGGCGGGAUCAUCUGGCCCAGCACAAUUCAGAGGGGAAACUCAGUCUCCACCUCUGUUUUGCGUUGGUGUCCGGAUGCGCAGAGGCCAGUGCCGUAUGCCUAAAAGCUGCGAAGCCUGACAUCUUGCGUAAAGCCUCAAGUCUACAAAGUCUACAAAGUGAAGAACCAACCAGAAAAAAAUCGUACCAAUGCAUGUAAAGCUAAAAGUGAACCAAGAAACCUCUUUAACACGUACCUGACUCAUAAAAAAAUGCUACAAAUGUAAAGUGAAGUGAAGAAGUAUUUUUUUGGUGAAACCUUUGGUUUCUGCAUUGCUUGGUUCGGUUGGUCCGGGGCCCAGCUGAUAAAACAAAUAGCCCCGGAACAAAAUGUAAAAACAAAAAAACUAAAUAAAAAUAGCAAAGUCCGCAACAAAAAUCCAUUGUGCUGUGUUUAUUUUUUGUUUAUUUGAUGACAAAUUUACUAACAAUAGCACAUCUUACAGUAUAGGCCAAUAUGGGAUUAUUUUUAGACAAAGUAAAUAUAUCUAUAAUAUCUAUCUAUCUAUCUAUCUAUGUGUAUAUAUAUAUAUAUAUAUAUAUAUAUAUAUAUAUAUAUAUAUAUAUAUAUAUAUAUAUACACAGACACACACACACACAAUACUGAGAAAAAGUCUGAGAAAAGGCCACCACCAGCUUUGUUGUUUUGCCGAUGGUUUAAUGACCAUCCAUAUUUAUUUUUCAGUCUCUUUAUUACGAUACAAACAGAAAAUACAGGAAAUAUGUAGGCCUACACAAAAUGUAAAAAAAAAAAUUCUGAAAAAAUUUGUUUCAAACAAAAAUCAGUAUUUAGUGUGACCUCCUGAACCUCUUCCAUUUUCUCUAAAAUGAAACUCUGAGAAACAUCUCAUCAGAUUUUGAAAGUUCUCUUGGCCGUCCAGUCCUUUUCAAUUACAUUUAGGUUUAAGAGAGCCAGGUUCCUGCUAUUGCUUGUCAUUAUGUACUUGCCACUUUAGCCUAUAAAAGAUUUUUUUCUUCUUUUUUUUUUAAUACUGCACAAAAAGCCUAAUGGUGACCUAAGACUUAGUAUAUAGUAGUAUAUAUAUAUAAAUAUAUAUAUAUAGGUAUGUCUCUACCUAGUUAUUACCCAGUUAUUGUAAUUACUAUAAUAAGUACACAGUAUAUACAUGGGAAACAGGACUGUAAAGUAAAGUGCUACCAAAAAUUGUUACACAGUUUACCUUUAAGUUAAAUAUGAAUCCUUUGUUUGUGCAUGGCAAAAAAAAAAAAAAAAAGCCUGAUGUCAGUAAGUGAGCGUACCUUCACAGAGACACACAUCACUUUCCAGAAUGUUUUCUUUCAGAAUCAGAAGAUUCUGAUUUCAUGAUUCUGGUGGAAUGAUCUUCCCAACCCUAAUGCCGAAUCCCUGACAAUUCAUGAAACAGCAUAGGCUAGCCUCUCAUCUCUUUCGUCAGCACUUAACAACACCCUGCUGAAUGAAUGGAAAAAUGAAUGAUGAGGCUAAAUAAUAGGCUAAAUAAAUAACAUCUUCCCCUGUGCUUUCACUUUCCUUAAUCUCUCCCUGUUCUAGCUUGCACUAUUCUAAACGAUGUCUGAAACUUUAUUGCCUCUUUAUUGUGUUUUCUUAGGUGGGGUGACUCUAGAAUCUUAUUUGCUCCCAAUCUAGGCCUAUCUGUCAUGUCCACAAGAAUGUCUUUGCUUAUCUUACAGCUUAUACGUUUGUAUCUGAAUUAUGUAAAAGACAUGAUUCAGAAACUCUGAAAGCAAAGUUUCAUUUCUGUGAAAACAUCGACUGUAAUGUGUCUGGACCGGAUUGGCUGCUGAUUUGUUUGUUCUUUUUUAUGAGACGUGAACAGUUUCUGCAGGAAGAGUAUAAAUAACAGAUGAAGAUCCAUUUCUGCAUUUACUGCACUACGCUGCUCUGAAGCUUAAACAAAUCAUCAGAAUGAUCUUUUCCGAGGGGAGUGAUGAAGAGGAUGAAGAAGAUGAUGAUGAAGAAGAUGAUGGAGGUGCUGGAGUAAGUGUCUGCUGCCAAGGGUAGACAACUGCUCCAGACCUUGAUGCAGCGUGUCGAGAAAGACCCAAUAGUACGCUGGAUCCGUGAACUGUGUGUAUUUGCUGACACAAGCAAGCAGCAGCCAAAGAAACACACAGCUUCUUUUGUGACAAAUGUCACAACCCAAGCACCUCCCGCGCCAUGUGUGUCCAUGGCAAACCUGACACGUAGACCAUGAUUCCUCCAUGGGAACGAUGGACCUCGCAACUUUCCCGCUGUUCAGUGGCAGCACCAUCGGUUUUCUUCAGAACGGCUCUGUUUUUGUGUCUGUUUGUGCAACCCUGAAGAAACCAUGGAGAGAAGACUGAAAUAUACAUAGAGAGGUGAUGACCUCAUGGGUAAAGAGCUGCUGUUCCAGAGGUUGGAAGAUGUGAGCCAGUUAUUUCUGUCAUCACAAUCGUCCUCAAUCACCAUUGUGCCGUCGAGCAACGCACGUGACUCCAAGUUAUUUCAGCAGAACUGACUGUUUUUUUUUGCAACAGGUCUACAGUAGUCAACCAUCCAUUAAAAUACAAACAGAGAUGGGCUGGAUGGGCAUUUUGAAAUGUACUAAUGGAUACAUGUUGCUCACAUUUAUUUAUUGGGAGGUCAAUGCCCCUUUGAAGCCCAGGUGUAUUUGUUGUAAGGAUAUAUUCAGACUAUGGCUGCUUGGUCCAAAGCUCUCCAGUAUAACUAUAGCAGAAGGUUUCUGGAGCAGCGGAUCAGGGUCAGAGGUAAAAGUCCACUGUUUUAUGUUUUUUUUUCUUUUCAUUUGAAUUCUUUUACCUCACUUGAUGCCACGUCAACGGCACUCGGCUAUAGAGAGCAUGCUCAGAGCGAGACGACAUGUUCACCAGGAUAGGGUUCACGGGCACGACGGUUCUGCGCAUCGUGCUGACUUAGUUGAAUCCACUGGUUCAGAUACCUUACUUACACUACACAAUAUGACACACUGCUAAAUCUCACGCACAGGUUUUCUCGCAGUGCUGUUGAACAAAAGUUACAUAACAAAUGUAACGUACCUGUAAUGAGAAGUAAUCUCAUACAGAACAUGGUCCGAAUAAAAGGACCUGGUCUAGCCAGAAAUGAAGCCCAAUAGAUGUAACAACAUCAGAGGCCCUCAUAUCCUAUUGAGCACUCAUUAGAUUCUUGGUUAUGUGGCAAGGGGAUCAUUAGCAGGUGAUAUAUUUAGUUUUUACAAUGAUGUUUUUUAGAAUGUCAUGAUUGCAGAUGGAUUUCUGUGCAUAUGUCUGCCUGAAUGCAUCACUUUCUAAUGAGCUACACGUCUAACUUCCCCUAAAUAAAGAAUGUUGUGAAAAAAAAAAA
Megalobrama amblycephala (Wuchang bream) is the source of this 3617-nucleotide long non-coding RNA. RefSeq lists it as uncharacterized. NCBI's taxonomy places the organism in Eukaryota, Metazoa, Chordata, Actinopteri, Cypriniformes, Xenocyprididae. The record is from RefSeq and is a predicted model, not a curated record. The transcript is spliced from 4 exons.